RNAcentral lists this long non-coding RNA (1386 nucleotides) under Elaeis guineensis (African oil palm). RNAcentral's name for it is "long non-coding RNA (EGUI_LNC063859)". The record is from RNAcentral. Lineage: Eukaryota; Viridiplantae; Streptophyta; Magnoliopsida; Arecales; Arecaceae.
AACGACCCUAAUCACAAGGAUGAUAUUAAUAUGACAUCAAAUUUGCAUUGAUGGGUCCUGAAUUUGACUUUAAACUCAUUCAAAAUUGAACAAGGAGCCUUUGAGGCAUGACACCACCACCCAUUGAAAAUAAUGUUGAUUGAAUUUGUGAAGGUCAUAUGCUUUCAUAAAUACUACAAGGAUUUGGAUUUUAGAAUUUUAUAACAAGUCACAUAAACUGAUAUUUUUGAUAAAAACUUCAAAAACAGGUCCAUCCUAGGGCAAACAUACUCCACCAAUGGAAAAUUUGACGACAAUCAGGAACUACAGACGAAAGUAAUCAAUAAAUGGUAAAUUCUUUAACCUGAACAUGAUCGAUAAGAGACUCCCUCAUCUGGAAAGGCCACCAAUUUUAAGCAUAGAUUUUUCUAAAGUAAUUGAAUAAGACAAAAAAAAUCAAUACUAAAAAGUAGUAUGGUAGAACAACGAGAACGGCAGAAAUUGAUAAAAUGUCAAAGAAAUAAAUUAAAUUAGUGAAAGAAAAUGCGAGCUAAUAAUUUAAAAUAGUGGAAAAUCAAAUUCCAUAGCAAUGAAGACAAAAGAGCAAACACCAGAUCGGAACAGAACACCAUAAAAUCAUAACAACUAGGCAAGUUUUAACCAGGGUACUUUAGAAAAGAUAAGCUUUCGUAAGCAACCCCAAAAAAAAUCUUGAAAGAGAGAAGGGAACAAUGUUCUCCCAUAAUAACAAAUGAUACCUCGAACACAAGUGCGAACAAAUCCCUCAGAAACAGAUUAUUCCAUUCAUCAAAAGGAUGUCAGACCACUACUUUAAUCUCACAAACUAAUCUUCGCAGGGAUUCAAAGAGCAUGGUAAUGGCAUAAACACAAAGCAUAUCCAAAGAAACAAACCUAAAACAAGUUUCCUCAGUUCAGGUCUCCAUGAAGCUUCCGCAUUGUAUAACAAACACCUCGGAAGAACGAAAGUUUUUUUUCUGAUCAUCAUUGGAAACUAUAUUUAAACAAAAAAGAAAGAUCAAGUAUUCGAGAAAAAUGAGAAAAGAAAUAGUAUGACUUGAUGGGUCUCCUCAGUUCAGGUCUCCAUAAACUUUUCCGCACGGAUGGCGAUCAUCACCACCACUCUCGGAAGAACGAAAGUUAUUCUUUUGAUCAUCAUCGGAGACACCCCCCAGCUUUCAAUACAGUAUAACACGAAAGAUUUUUCCGUCAUUAGAUUGGAUCUCAAGCAGGAGAGAGGAGAAGGGAACAGCUUUCGUCUCGCGGCCACCGGAGAAAGAGCAAGCCAAAGCGUACCGAGAGGUGGAAUUUAUAGAAGGGGAGACCCACGGAUGGCCUGUCCUUAGAACCCUAACCCUAGCACCAGGGUUUGGUAUGCAUACGGCUGGC